GAUAGCUAAUACUUUUGUGAGGAGUAAGGAGGGGAAGAUCUUGACUGCUAUUACAACAAUUAUUCAUAUCAACAAUGGCUUCCGCAGGUAUGAAUUCGUUUUAUUAAUUUAUUACGUGGUGAUUCUUGAUUCUUGGCAUGAUUACAAAUAAAUAUUAACAAUUGGUAUCAGAGCCUUCAUGUUAAGAUCGGAAUCCUUCAUAAAAAUAAUAUUCUAUCUCGAUUAUUUUAAACUUUGUUAAACACUAUAUCAAAAAAAAAAAAAAAAAAAAAAUUGGGAAAAGGGUCAACUUUCCACGAGUUCUGUGCAUCAAUGUGUGUUAUGAAUUCUGUGCAUAAAUGCAUUAUAUAUAUUAAUAUAUGAAAAGAAAUCAAACCAAGGUCAUAAAUCAAGUUUUCUCUCUUUCUCUCUCUUCUCUACGGCCGAACAAAAACAAAUUAUUUGAGGAGCAGAUCUAGGCUGCUCUGCUGCCAGCGAUAGUGGUGUUUUUCACUUGCCAAUUGAUUUGGGUUUUGACAUUACUAUCAAAGUUGACUAUCGGCUUUUCCUCUUUUUAUUUAUUUUUGUCGAUUUUUCCUUUUUUUUUUGAUGAAUUAAUUGGGAUGAGAAUUGAUGUUGUUGGAGGAGAAAUAAAUGGUGGAUUUAAGGUUUUAGUUCGGCCAUCCGUUGCAACGCCCGGUGUGGUCGGCGCCGUAGAAAAAGAAAUCUGGUCUUCUGCAAAACGAGCUACAUAUAUGGAGAAGGGGGCUUUCAAUGUAAAUAACAUACUUGUGAUACCCCACAUGCAAUUAGAGAAAAGGCCCUAUUUUGCAAAUAUUAAGAGAAGGACCUGUUAUGUAAUAAGUAUAAUUAGAAGGCCCGUGAUUAAUUUUAAAACUGGAGUCAAAGUGCAAUUUUUUGAAAGGGGUUUUAAAUUGGAUUUUUAAAGUUUCGAACCUAAACAAAAAUUUCAAUUUCGACCCAAAUUGAAAUUUUAUUUAAACUUGACCCGAUUAAAAUUAUAUGUUGAAUAAAUAAUAAAAUUAAUUGACGACUUUUAUACUAUUUCAUUAAAAU
This 1056-nucleotide long non-coding RNA is filed under the name Olea europaea subsp. europaea. The record is from RNAcentral. Lineage: Eukaryota; Viridiplantae; Streptophyta; Magnoliopsida; Lamiales; Oleaceae.